UACAGAGGUCCCGAGCGUUGUUCGGAUUCACUGGGCGUAAAGGGUGCGUAGGCGGGUAAGUAAGUCCGUGGUGAAAUCUCUGAGCUUAACUCAGAAACUGCCGUGGAUACUAUUUGCCUUGAAUAUUGUGGAGGUGAGCGGAAUAUGUCAUGUAGCGGUGAAAUGCUUAGAUAUGACAUAGAACACCAAUUGCGAAGGCAGCUCACUACACAAUCAUUGACGCUGAGGCACGAAAGCGUGGGGAUCAAACAGG
Molecule: ribosomal RNA, 253 nt
Filed under: uncultured bacterium
Lineage: Bacteria
Description: partial 16S ribosomal RNA
Rfam family: Bacterial small subunit ribosomal RNA
Source: RNAcentral